GUCUUUCUUAGUAGCCACUUAGUCACAAACACUGGCCAAAUAUUAGUUUUUUGCUUUUUUCACACAAAAACAAAUAUGAACGCUAACUUUGGCCAGUUUUUGUGACUAAGUGGCUACUAAAAAAGACUAAAUAUACCCCACUUUCAAUACCUUGGGUUGUCUACUUUUUCAAAUGUUAUGCCAUUAUGGGGGUAAUUCUCAUUCCUGGGCUACCACACCGUCUCAAAGGUAACAUUACUAAUCUGGCAACUUUCAAUUUAAAAAUGGAACGUUCUAUAUUUGACCCUGUAACUUUCCAAAACACCAUAAAACCUGUUAAUGGGGGGUACUGUUGUACUCAUGAGACAUCGCUGAUUACAA
This 360-nucleotide long non-coding RNA is filed under the name Pelobates cultripes (western spadefoot toad). Lineage: Eukaryota; Metazoa; Chordata; Amphibia; Anura; Pelobatidae. The record is from RNAcentral.